RNAcentral lists this ribosomal RNA (433 nucleotides) under uncultured bacterium. Its description in RNAcentral is "partial 16S ribosomal RNA". It matches the Rfam family "Bacterial small subunit ribosomal RNA", at positions 29 to 506 of the family's 1533-position model. The record is from RNAcentral.
AGCGAACGCUGGCGGCAGGCCUAACACAUGCAAGUCGAACGAACCUUUCGGGGUUAGUGGCGGACGGGUGAGUAACACGUGGGAACGUGCCUUUAGGUUCGGUAUAACUCAGGGAAACUUGUGCUAAUACCGAAUGUGCCCUUCGGGGGAAAGAUUAAUCGCCUUUAGAGCGGCCCGCGUCUGAUUAGCUAGUUGGUUGAGGUAAUGGCUCACCAAGGCGACGAGCAGUAGCUGGUCUGAGAGGAUGAUCAGCCACAUUGGGACUGAGACACGGCCCAAACUCCUACGGGAGGCAGCAGUGGGGAAUCUUGCGCAAUGGGCGAAAGCCUGAAGCAGCCAUGCCGCGUGAAUGAUGAAGGUCUUAGGAUUGUAAAAUUCUUUCACCGGGGACGAUAAGGAGGGUACCCGGAGAAGAAGCCCCGGCAAACUUCGU